This 478-nucleotide ribosomal RNA is filed under the name uncultured bacterium. RNAcentral describes it as "partial 16S ribosomal RNA". It matches the Rfam family "Bacterial small subunit ribosomal RNA", at positions 28 to 507 of the family's 1533-position model. The record is from RNAcentral.
GAUGAACGCUGGCGGCGUGCUUAACACAUGCAAGUCGAACGAGAAGUGAAGACGGAAACCUUCGGGCGGAAGGCUUUAUUUCGAGUGGCGGACGGGUGAGUAACGCGUGGGUAACCUGCCUCAUACAGGGGGAUAACAGUUGGAAACGACUGUUAAUACCGCAUAAGACCACAGCACCGCAUGGUGCGGGGGUAAAAACUCCGGUGGUAUGAGAUGGACCCGCGUUCGAUUAGCCAGUUGGCGGGGUAACGGCCCACCAAAGCGACGAUCGAUAGCCGAUCUGAGAGGAUGACCGGCGACAUUGGGACUGAGACACGGCCCAAACUCCUACGGGAGGCAGCAGUGGGGAAUAUUGCACAAUGGGGGAAACCCUGAUGCAGCGACGCCGCGUGAGUGAAGAAGUAUGUCGGUAUGUAAAGCUCUAUCAGCAGGGAAGAAAAUGACGGUACCUGAGGAAGAAGCCCCGGCUAACUACGUG